AAAACGGCUCUUUUCAGAGCCACCAAAUUUAACGAUCGACAAACUU
Molecule: regulatory RNA element, 46 nt
Organism: Helobdella robusta
Lineage: Eukaryota; Metazoa; Annelida; Clitellata; Rhynchobdellida; Glossiphoniidae
Rfam family: Histone 3' UTR stem-loop
About the family: The mRNAs of metazoan histone genes lack a poly-A tail. 3' end processing occurs at a site between a highly conserved stem-loop (modelled by this family) and a purine rich region around 20 nts downstream (the histone downstream element, or HDE). The stem-loop is bound by a 31 kDa stem-loop binding protein (SLBP - also termed the histone hairpin binding protein, or HBP).
Source: Rfam